AGUAGCCUAAGAUUUCAACCCAUCAGCCAGGUCGGGGGCUGCAUGUUGGCUGCCUUGCCUAAGGAAGUGCCUUGGCAGAAAAGAAAGAAGAAGGGCUCUGGAGGGAAUAGGGAAGGGAGUUGUUCUGAGAGUCCCUCCUGUCAACUUAGGCGAAACAACCAACUUUUUUUCAAGGACAGAACUGAGACAGUAGGAUGUUUGAGCUAUAGUCAUUGACUAAAUAAAUCUGGGCUCGGGGAAUGGCGUGAGAUGGAAUCUGAGGUAAAGUGGGCUGGUUUCUCAGUCUAACACAAUCUUUGUUUCCAGGGGGAUGGCAUCCACAUCUGCCAGGAGUGGGGAUAAAAAGGACAUCUGGCCAUCUCAAGCUGCUGCCUCCUUAGGUGGAGGGCAGAAAGCCUCAUUAUCCCGCUCUGAAGAAUUCCUCACCCGAAUCAGCACAGAACUCACAGACGAAGCACUGUUUAUUGCUCGCUCCCGUUUGAAUCUUAUGCCCAACAAGGAAAAGCAGACAAAAGACCAAGGGACUCAGAUAUCUAGAAAUGGUGAACUCUCUCCCUCUUCAUCUAGAGACCAGUCCCUGACUCUUCCAGCCAUAGCUGAUCUCCCCAGGAAUCUGCCCAUUUUUUUCUCCUCAUUUCCUGUCCUAGGCCCAGAGCCCUGUACCUUCUAACUCACUUAUUGUUGCCAGCCAGGAGCCCCUUGGUUCCCAUCUGCUCUAGCCACAACUCUUUCUAACCACGGGGAAAGUUGUUCCUUUAACUGGGGCCUCUAAUUCCAGUGUUCUUCACCAAGACCCGAGGCACUGACACCCGCUCGUGAUUCUCAGCCUGUUCUAUUGUCUUCUGCCAUCUCCAGCUCUGACAGAAAUCGAACCCGAACCAAGGCACACCUUUUGCCAUCUCCUCGUGAAAAGGGAGCACUCCCCAGCAGCCUGACAACUGGAGGAUGAGCUCAGUCCUCCCUGGUACUGCUCUCUCUCGGCCUCUUGCCCUCCCCCAACAAUGCCCCUCAGUGAAAACCUCAAAGCCCCUCUUUUGCAACUGGCUAAGCCUCUCAUCUUGGGAGGAACUCCUGGUCAUAAGCAACGCCACCUUUGAAACCAAGAAAAUCUGGGAUUGUUGCAGGGCCCUCCACCCUCCAUGGACAAACACUACUGAGAAGAAAAGGUUUUAAUAAAGAACCAGGGACCUCCUUUC
Arvicanthis niloticus (Nile rat) is the source of this 1196-nucleotide non-coding RNA. The record is from RefSeq and is a predicted model, not a curated record. Lineage: Eukaryota; Metazoa; Chordata; Mammalia; Rodentia; Muridae.